This 228-nucleotide ribosomal RNA is filed under the name uncultured bacterium. RNAcentral describes it as "partial 16S ribosomal RNA". It matches the Rfam family "Bacterial small subunit ribosomal RNA", at positions 15 to 219 of the family's 1533-position model. The record is from RNAcentral.
GAUCCUGGCUCAGGAUGAACGCUGGCGGCGUGCUUAACACAUGCAAGUCGAACGAAGCACUCUAUUUGAUUUUCUUCGGAAAUGAAGAUUUUGUGACUGAGUGGGCGGACGGGGUGAAGGUAACGCGUGGGUAACCUGCCUCAUACAGGGGGAUAACAGUUGGAAACGACUGCUAAUACCGCAUAAGCGCACAGGAUCGCAUGAUCUGGUGUGAAAAACUCCGGUGGU